This 542-nucleotide ribosomal RNA is filed under the name Heptageniidae environmental sample. RNAcentral describes it as "SSU rRNA". It matches the Rfam family "Eukaryotic small subunit ribosomal RNA", at positions 673 to 1211 of the family's 1831-position model. The record is from RNAcentral. Lineage: Eukaryota; Metazoa; Arthropoda; Insecta; Ephemeroptera; Heptageniidae.
UGGGACUCGGCGCACGCCGGGGUUCCGUAACUUACCCUCCGCGCUGCUCUUAACCGAGUGGUUCGGUGGGCCGGCACGUUUACUUUGAACAAAUUUGAGUGCUCAAAGCAGGCCUUACGUUGCCUGGAAACUGUGUGCAUGGAAUAAUGAAAGAGGACCUUGGUUCUAUUUUGUUGGCUUUCUGAACUCGAGGUAAUGAUUAACAGGGACAGACGGGGGCAUUCGUAUUGCGACGUUAGAGGUGAAAUUCUUGGAUCGUCGCAAGACGGACCGAUGCGAAAGCGUUUGCCAAGAAUGUUUUCGCUAAUCAAGAACGAAAGUUAGAGGUUCGAAGGCGAUUAGAUACCGCCCUAGUUCUAACCAUAAACGAUGUCAGCCAGCGAUGCGCCGAUGUUCCUCCGAUGACACGGCGCGCAACUUCCGGGAAACCAAAGCUUUUGGGUUCCGGGGGAAGUAUGGUUGCAAAGCUGAAACUUAAAGGAAUUGACGGAAGGGCACCACCAGGAGUGGAGCCUGCGGCUUAAUUUGACUCAACACGGGAA